CAAUCAAGCGCUGAGACGUUUGCGCUCCGAGGCCCGGCGCGGUGCGCGGAGGUUGUGCUCCUCGGUGGCUCCCCGAGCCCGGGAGUUCCUGCUCUCUCGGCACUAGGGCCUCCCCGGGAAUUCACCUGACGUCCGACGUCGCUGUGAGUGGACCCACAGCUCCAGUUCAGAAAAAUAGAAGAGCUUUUGUGAGGGAACAGAAGUCUCUGGUGCCGUGGCUCCUUUGUUCCUGGUAAGGCUUCCACUGGACCCAAGCAGCUCUGCGCUGGAGUAAUGAGCACUGAGGAUACAAGAUGGUAGGACUACUGGGAUGAUGGAGCCAUGUGACUUCAUGAGGCUCUGCAGAGAGAGAAAGCACACAAGCAGGGGGAGAGGCAGAGGGAGAGGCAGAAGGAGGCUUCCCACUGAGCAGGGAGCCCAAUCCCAGGAUCCUGAGAUCAUGACCUGAGCCAAAGAAGACACUUAACCAACUGAGCCACCCAGGUGCCCCAUCUCUAACAUUCUUUCUGGAAUCCUUAUAGUCCCAGUAGGGAGUUAGGUAUCUGGUCCCAAAUUUCUCAAAAUUGCCCUCAAAAUGCUGCCUCUAUUUUUCUUCUCCCAUCUCUCCUCAACCACAUGUAGUAAGUCGCCUGAAGAGACCCAAAUGACCUGAAUUUCCCUAGCAAGCAUUUUCAAAACACUGGUUGGUCUUUACCCAAUAUCAGAAACGUGCAAAGAAAAUUCAAGUUACGUGAAAUACAACCAUCUAACAACCACAUCUAAUCUUCUGAUGUAUCUCCUCCCCCAAUCAUUUUCCUCCCAGUUUUCUAAAAAAAUUUUGAAAGAUUUUACUUAUUUAUCUGAGAGAGAGAGAGAGGGAGAAGCAGGCUCCCCAAGGAACAGGGAACCCAAUGUGGGACUUGGCCCCAGGACCCUUGGGAUCAUGACUGGAGCCGAAGGCAGACACUUAACUGACUGAUCCACCCAGGUGCCCCUAAAAAUGUUUUCAAAAUUGAAAAUAUUUUUCUUUCUUAACAUUAAUAAUGACAAUUUUCCAGUAUCUUUAGAUAUUCUGUAAAAAUAUUUUGUAAAUUGCUAAAUAGCACUCCAUCCUGCAGAGGUAUUUUAUUUUAACCAAUUCUCUGUAUACUGAAUUCCCACAUUUUAUUAUAUAAAAUUAUGAUCAACUCUUGUGCAUGUACAUCUUUGUCUGUAUCUGAUUACUUUAUUAGGAUACUCUAAGAAGGAAUAUCCAGACUAUCAAGGACAAACUUUUAAAAGGCCCUUGAGAAGUAUUUUCUAGAAAGACUACUGAUCCACAUUCAUCUCCAAAAGUCUAUUCCAGUUUGAUUUAUUGUUCUAGUAUGAACUAGGGAAACUGAAGGAACUCCAUGAAAAACUGCUUUUUGCUUAUUUUCCUGCUUCUGUUCUUGCUAGGACCUGUACUGCUGCCUUGUGUAUGUCUUAUAGUAUAAAUGAUAUCUGUUUUUCU
Molecule: long non-coding RNA, 1471 nt
Organism: Canis lupus familiaris (dog)
Lineage: Eukaryota; Metazoa; Chordata; Mammalia; Carnivora; Canidae
Exons: 3
Source: RefSeq, a predicted model, not a curated record